Molecule: long non-coding RNA, 1032 nt
Filed under: Homo sapiens (human)
Lineage: Eukaryota; Metazoa; Chordata; Mammalia; Primates; Hominidae
Description: HSALNT0071445
Source: RNAcentral
UUGAACUCCUGGCCUUAAGUGUUCCUCUUUGGCCUCCCAGAGGGCUGGAACUACAGGCAUGGGUCACCAUGCCCUAUACGUCUUAGAUCUGGAUUCAAGUACACUAAUUGAACAUACAUUAAGGAGUCUUGUUGUUUGAUGACUAUUUGGUUAGGUUUUUAAGAAAUUUGGAGGAAAUCAUAAAUCUCGGAUUUGCUCAGAAAUAACGGAUGGGGUUGUAGGCGAUGAAUGGGAUCAACGUGAAGUAAGAUCACAUCCUCGAAAGGUUGGGAAAUAUGGGUCCAUUAGAUACAAAUUUUUUACAAUGUAGAAAAUGAAACAAAGACCUGCGAAGUUCACCUGGAUUAUUGUGACAGUCAACUGGUCAUCUUCCUCUCCUGUCUAUUUUCAGCAUCAGCCAGGGUACUGAUUUUGAAAUGGAUUAUAGCACUGUUUCAAAUCCUGCAACAGGUUUUUUUUCCCUUUUUUCUUUUUAAAAUAGCCUCCCCAUUGUACCUGCAGCCGUUUUUAACUCAAUUUUUCUGACUUCUGCGCUAUAGCUGAAUUGACCUGGCUAAUCCUCUAUACCAAGCACUCUGUCAUUAAGCAUUUAAGUUGUCGUUUUCCCUUUGGAAUGCUCUCAGCUGAGCUGUGUGGCUAAUUUCACUUACCUUCAGGUCUAUUCAGUGAAUCCUGCCUUGACCACCGUAUUAAAAAUAGUAGACCGGCUCCUUAAGCUUGUCCUACUGUCUCGUUACCCUUCUCCACUUGUUUUUGUCAAUAGCAUUUGUAAUUUUAAUAUUUACAAUUGGUUGUGUAUUGAUGAUGUGUUUUUUUCUGCUAGGAUGUAACCUUCACAAGGAGGUAAUUUUGUACUCUGGUGUAUUCCAGCUACCAGAACAAUGGCAUGUAGCUGUUUCCUGGAUUGCCAAGGAACUCAGUAAUAGCAGUGGGACUGGAAGAGAGAGAUUUUGGGAAGAACCACCCUGACCUAAAGGAGAAGGCACCUUAUUAGAAGUGACAGAAUAUAUAUUAUCUAUCACUGACUACCCA